RNAcentral lists this long non-coding RNA (483 nucleotides) under Mustela putorius furo (domestic ferret). Its description in RNAcentral is "lncRNA (ENSMPUG00000025843.1)". Lineage: Eukaryota; Metazoa; Chordata; Mammalia; Carnivora; Mustelidae. The record is from RNAcentral.
UUUUACAGGCAUGAAAAAUCAAACUGAUCCAUAUGUUGAAUUUAUGACUUUAUAUAUGUCUUCUUGUAUGCCCCCUCCUCCAGGGUAAGACCGAACCUUUGUAUCUCCCUCAUUACCUUGUACAACGCCUUGUACUCUAAAGAUUCAUCGAACCCGGAUUGACUAGGUACUUUGCGGACACGUUGCAUCUGUCAAGGUUGAGCUGGAAAUAGGGGAGGAAUCAAGCAGAAGAAUCAAAAGAGAAAUGGAAGAAGCUGAGAGAAAGGACCAUUUACAAAGGCCGCCCAUUGUCUGAGCUAACCGGAAGUCAGCGGAGUAGAUCAAGGUGGAGACUGAUUUGGAAAGACACAUGGAGAAAAUGCAGCGGACGCCUAUAGCGAAGGGCGUUCUUUCACUCAACACCUAUUGAUUACCUUGGGCCCAGAGUGAAGCCCCCCCCACCCCAACACGGAGAAGCUCCACCCAGGUCUGCAGCACCUCCAG